RNAcentral lists this long non-coding RNA (310 nucleotides) under Homo sapiens (human). RNAcentral's name for it is "HSALNT0076721". The record is from RNAcentral. Lineage: Eukaryota; Metazoa; Chordata; Mammalia; Primates; Hominidae.
UGAACAGAUUUCAGGGUUAAGACUUCAACAUAACUUUUGGAGGGCCACAAUUCAACCAGUAAUAAGUCCUGUGAGGUUUCUGGGUUAUCUUAGGCAAUAAAAAGUUCAAUGCCAUCUUCAAAUUUUAAAACUCAGUUUUUAUUUUAAAAACAAACAAACAAACAAAAAAACAGAAUGUCCAGUCCAGGUCAAAGGUAAAGCCUGUAGACUUCCUGUCCACUAUAGAAAAGUAUGAAAUGGGUUUCUUUUCUCUUUCUUGCUAGGCUACUCUACCACUUGCAAGCUGCUGUUUCUGACCUUCUGGAGUUUG